GAUGACGAGAGAGGGGAGGGCCACAUCAAAUUCUUUCGCCGCUAUAAGGCUUGGGCACCAGAGCAGCUGCAGAACGAGAUUGAAUCGGGAAUUUGGAAGUUCUGUC
This 106-nucleotide ribosomal RNA is filed under the name Craspedostauros australis. RNAcentral describes it as "partial 5.8S ribosomal RNA". Lineage: Eukaryota; Bacillariophyta; Bacillariophyceae; Mastogloiales; Achnanthaceae. The record is from RNAcentral.